This 465-nucleotide ribosomal RNA is filed under the name Vreelandella stevensii. RNAcentral's name for it is "partial 16S ribosomal RNA". It matches the Rfam family "Bacterial small subunit ribosomal RNA", at positions 338 to 795 of the family's 1533-position model. The record is from RNAcentral. Lineage: Bacteria; Pseudomonadati; Pseudomonadota; Gammaproteobacteria; Oceanospirillales; Halomonadaceae.
CCUACGGGGGGCAGCAGUGGGGAAUAUUGGACAAUGGGCGAAAGCCUGAUCCAGCCAUGCCGCGUGUGUGAAGAAGGCCUUCGGGUUGUAAAGCACUUUCAGUGGGGAAGAAAGCCUUGGGGCUAAUACCCUCGAGGAAGGACAUCACCCACAGAAGAAGCACCGGCUAACUCCGUGCCAGCAGCCGCGGUAAUACGGAGGGUGUGAGCGUUAAUCGGAAUUACUGGGCGUAAAGCGCGCGUAGGCGGUCUGAUAAGCCGGUUGUGAAAGCCCCGGGCUCAACCUGGGAACGGCAUCCGGAACUGUCAGGCUAGAGUGCAGGAGAGGAAGGUAGAAUUCCCGGUGUAGCGGUGAAAUGCGUAGAGAUCGGGAGGAAUACCAGUGGCGAAGGCGGCCUUCUGGACUGACACUGACGCUGAGGUGCGAAAGCGUGGGUAGCAAACAGGAUUAGAUACCCUAGUAGUC